This 382-nucleotide ribosomal RNA is filed under the name uncultured eukaryote. Its description in RNAcentral is "partial 18S ribosomal RNA". It matches the Rfam family "Eukaryotic small subunit ribosomal RNA", at positions 592 to 976 of the family's 1831-position model. The record is from RNAcentral.
UGUAAGCGUAUACCAAAGUUGUUGCAGUUAAAACGCUCGUAGUCGGAAUUUGGCAGUUCCGGAAGUGUGCACGUCGUGUGCGCACUUUGCGGGGGCUGCUUUUGUGGUCUUGCGUAGGAUGAGGCACUUUCAUUAGUGAACGUCCUCACGCAACCACUCUUUACUGUGAGAAAAUCAGAGUGCUCAAAGCAGGCAUUUGCCGUGAAUGUAUUAGCAUGGAAUAAUAGAAUAGGACUCGGUUCUAUUUUGUUGGUUUGUUGGGACUGAGUAAUGAUUAAGAGGGACAGUUGGGGGCAUUUGUAUUCCGGCGCUAGAGGUGAAAUUCUUAGAUUGCCGGAAGACAAACUGCUGCGAAAGCGUCUGCCAAGGAUGUUUUCAUUGA